AACGAACGCUGGCGGCAUGCCUAACACAUGCAAGUCGAACGAGACCUUCGGGUCUAGUGGCGCACGGGUGCGUAACGCGUGGGAACCUGCCCUUAGGUUCGGAAUAACUCCCCGAAAGGGGUGCUAAUACCGGAUAAUGUCUUCGGACCAAAGAUUUAUCGCCUUUGGAUGGGCCCGCGUUGGAUUAGCUAGUUGGUAGGGUAAAAGCCUACCAAGGCGACGAUCCAUAGCUGGUCUGAGAGGAUGAUCAUCCACACUGGGACUGAGACACGGCCCAGACUCCUACGGGGGGCAGCAGUGGGGAAUAUUGGACAAUGGGCGAAAGCCUGAUCCAGCAAUGCCGCGUGAGUGAUGAAGGCCUUAGGGUUGUAAAGCUCUUUUACCCGGGAUGAUAAUGACAGUACCGGGAGAAUAAGCGCCGGCUAACUACGUG
Molecule: ribosomal RNA, 433 nt
Filed under: uncultured bacterium
Lineage: Bacteria
Description: partial 16S ribosomal RNA
Rfam family: Bacterial small subunit ribosomal RNA
Source: RNAcentral